UAAUCUGUUUGAGGCAAAUUAUUAUCUAGUUAUGAUAGACUCAUAUCUGAUUAUGUAUCACUACUGUAUAAACAAUAACUUUUUGAGAUUUUGACUAGAGU
This 101-nucleotide microRNA precursor is filed under the name Populus trichocarpa (black cottonwood). Its description in RNAcentral is "MIR480 microRNA precursor family". It matches the Rfam family "MIR480 microRNA precursor family". Lineage: Eukaryota; Viridiplantae; Streptophyta; Magnoliopsida; Malpighiales; Salicaceae. The record is from Rfam by way of RNAcentral.